ACGCGUUGGGAGCUCUCCCAUAUGGUCGACCUGCAGGCGGCCGCGAAUUCACUAGUGAUUAGCUUUACGACCCUAAGGCCUUCAUCACUCACGCGGCAUUGCUGGAUCAGGCUUGCGCCCAUUGUCCAAUAUUCCCCACUGCUGCCUCCCGUAGGAGUCUGGGCCGUGUCUCAGUCCCAGUGUGGCUGAUCAUCCUCUCAGACCAGCUAAGGAUCGUUGCCUUGGUGAGCCUUUACCCCACCAACUAGCUAAUCCUACGCGGGCUCAUCCCUGGGCGAUAAAUCUUUGGACUUUCGUCAUCAUCCGGUAUUAGCUUCAGUUUCCCGAAGUUAUUCCGAACCCAAGGGCAGAUUCCCACGCGUUACGCACCCGUGCGCCACUAGACCCGAAGGUCUCGUUCGACUUGCAUGUAUUAGGCAUGCCGCCAGCGUUCGUUCUGAGCCAUGAUCAAACUCUAAUCGAAUUCCCGCGGCCGCCAUGG
Molecule: ribosomal RNA, 481 nt
Filed under: uncultured Alphaproteobacteria bacterium
Lineage: Bacteria; Pseudomonadati; Pseudomonadota; Alphaproteobacteria
Description: partial 16S ribosomal RNA
Source: RNAcentral